AGGGUUCGAUUAUGGCUCAGGACGAACGCUGGCGGCGUGCUUAACACAUGCAAGUCGAACGGAGCACCCUUGACUGAGGUUUCGGCCAAAUGAUAGGAAUGCUUAGUGGCGGACUGGUGAGUAACGCGUGAGGAACCUGCCUUCCAGAGGGGGACAACAGUUGGAAACGACUGCUAAUACCGCAUGACGCAUGACCGGGGCAUCCCGGGCAUGUCAAAGAUUUUAUCGCUGGAAGAUGGCCUCGCGUCUGAUUAGCUAGAUGGUGGGGUAACGGCCCACCAUGGCGACGAUCAGUAGCCGGACUGAGAGGUUGACCGGCCACAUUGGGACUGAGAUACGGCCCAG
RNAcentral lists this ribosomal RNA (345 nucleotides) under uncultured bacterium. Its description in RNAcentral is "bacterial SSU rRNA". It matches the Rfam family "Bacterial small subunit ribosomal RNA", at positions 8 to 334 of the family's 1533-position model. The record is from RNAcentral.